CUACGGGUGGCAGCAGUGAGGAAUAUUGCACAAUGGGGGGAACCCUGAUGCAGCAACGCCGCGUGGAGGAUGACGCAUUUCGGUGUGUAAACUCCUUUUAUAUGUCAAGAAAAUGACGGUAGCAUAUGAAUAAGCACCGGCUAACUCCGUGCCAGCAGCCGCGGUAAUACGGAGGGGUGCAAGCGUUACUCGGAAUCACUGGGCGUAAAGGACGCGUAGGCGGGUUGGAAAGUCAGGUGUGAAAUCCUACAGCUUAACUGUAGAACUGCACUUGAAACUUCUAAUCUAGAGUAUGGGAGGGGGAGAUGGAAUUAGUGGUGUAGGGGUAAAAUCCGUAGAUAUCACUAGGAAUACCUAAAGCGAAGGCGAUCUCCUGGAACAUUACUGACGCUAAGGCGUGAAAGCGUGGGGAGCAAACAGGAUUAGAUACCCUAGUAGUC
RNAcentral lists this ribosomal RNA (440 nucleotides) under uncultured bacterium. RNAcentral's name for it is "partial 16S ribosomal RNA". It matches the Rfam family "Bacterial small subunit ribosomal RNA", at positions 339 to 795 of the family's 1533-position model. The record is from RNAcentral.